UUAAUUUUUGUGAUUGUCAACAAUUGUCUUAAAAAGAAUUAUUGGACUCAUCAACAUUAGUUACUUAUAAAAACUUUAUUAUAUCCAGUUGCUUUAAACCUGAAUAGUUUUUUUACUGCUGGUUUGUAUUGUUUUCAAUUUCUACUAGUCAAAAACUAAUUUUUAAGAAUAAUACCUGGUCUUUUAAAAGCUUCAUUAAUAUCAUUCUGCUGACCAGUUAUUUGCACAUCAUUAACAUCUUGUUGAGAAUAAAGUGUUUUCAUAUUUCAUAUAUUGUGAUAGUAAUGAUAUUAAACUUCCUGGAUAUGUAACAGUUCAUUCAACAUUUUAUGAAAACUAAUAAAACAAUAAAUCAGUUUACUUUGCAUAAAGAGAUAAGGGGGUAAAUUCAAGGCUUGUUUUUUAUGUCUUUAACACCUUUAAUAUCGAUUGGUGUGGUUUCAGUAUUAAGUUUUGUUCUUCCAGUUUUGUAUAAUGUCUUGUGUUGCAUUGGUACUCCUUGUUAUAAGAUAAUAAAUAUUUCUUCAGAAAAGGAUUUUUAUAUUGCCUCAAUUUUGGUGUAUUUACUAUAGUUUUAUUCAAUAUGUACACUUAAAUUUAAAACAGACAAAAAAUGUCAUCUCGGUGUUUGUUUUUCUAAAAUAUUAUCAACGGUUUUUAUUUAAGAUUUGUAACAGAUUAGGUUUGAAUGAACCUCCUUUUUGUACAUAAGAUCAUCAGUUAACUGAGUGAAAACUGUUUCUGAAGAAACUAUUCAUCAAAACCAACAAUAUAUAGGAGAAAAGUUUAUCAAGUUUAAGAAAAUGAUUAAUAGUCUACUUAACUAUUAGUUACAAAUACAUUUUGACUAACAAUUCUUGUUGGUACUUUUUUACAUGAGAAAUAUUCACAAUGGUUUCAGCAUACCUGUUUCUCUUAUCUGGUUUUGCCUUUUAUUAUUUUUUUUGGUAGUGGAUGAGUAAUGCUUAUCCAUGCACAUUACAUGCUUAACUGUGUAAUUUUAACAGUUGAAGAUUGAAUGUGAAUUUGUCUCAUAGAAUUCUCUGCAAAUAAUGAAAUAUCAUGAGAACAUACAUUUUACAAUAAUAUGUUUAACACUUUUACUUAUUCUUUGUAAACUGUAGAGCUAAUUGGGAUCAAAUUUCUUGUACUCACUUUGGUAUUGAUCUUGUGAAGUUUAAAUCAGUAGGUACUACCAUAAUCUUCUGUUCUCAUAGGCAAUAUAGUUUUAAGCCUCAUUCCGCAUUCCUUUAUCAAAGCUGUUUAUAUAUAUAUAUAUAUAUAUAUAGAUAUGUUUGAGUUUGUAUAUAUUCCUGUUGGUUGUUGUGUGUUUAGUCACAUAUUUUUAAAACCACCUUCAAAGAGAAAUAAAUGAAAUUGUGAAGGUAGACUUCCUGAAAAGAGUUGCAAUAUUUACAUGCUUAAAUGCCUGUUGUGAUAUCUACUUUCCUAUGAACAUUUAUUCACAUAUUGCAAGCUGUGUUUCUGCACAUUUGACUUCAUUUUCAUGAAAAUUAAAUGCUGGAGCUCAGUUUUUUUCACGUACAGUGUAAUGACCAAGUUUUCAUGUAAGAGAGAUGGUUGUAUUAGUGUUGCAUGUAAUAAUGUAAUUUAGGAGAUAUAUUGAAAACUAAUUAAUUAUUGUAAUUGCUAGGUAAAUUACUUUCUUCAAUAUUGUUAGACUUUGUUACAAAAUAAUACUCACCCCUGCAAGUGUUUAAAAGAAUGACAUACUUUUGUAUUAUCUAGAAUGGUUUAUAACAAUCAACCAUUUAUCCAGCACGUUUUAUAUAUAUAUAUGCAUGCUUUACAUCAAAUAACCAUACUUUUACUUCAUAACAUUUUCUAGAAGAUAUUCUCUAAAAUAAAAUGAAAAUAUUAAAAAUGGCAAGAACCAGAUAAUUAGAACACAGAAAAUUAUAAUACAAUUUCUCAAUAACUUGACCUUUUUACCAUGAGACACUAAAAAAAAAGUAGCAAUUAGAUUUUAGAAUGACUUUUGUAAAUACCCUGUAUUAAGUAAAUCCGUAUAAAUCCAUCAGAACUACUGUUUUUAAUAUAUCCAAGAAUCAAAACAAUAUAAUUGUUCUUGAAGUGUCAAACUCUUAAUUAACAAUUGGACUUUUGGUCAAACUAUACGUCUCGUGGAAUGCUGCUUUUGACCUUAAGAAAUAAAAAAACAAACUAUUAUUCUAUAUUGCAAAGACAUUCUUUAUAACUUCAAUUUGACUCUAGAAAAAGAUAAUUCAGCUGUGAUAUAAAACUUUAUUUAAGCAUUGAAAAUUUGUGAUUAGUACAGUGACUUUCUUAAUGCAGGGUAUUUAAUAUAAACAUUGUUCAUAAGUUCAGUUACUUUCCUUAGUGUCCUAGAGUGUCAUGUUCAGUUAGAAAAAAGAAAGAAACUUGUGUUUAAUCAAACUGGUUUAAAUAAUAAAUUCUUAAAGAUGUCACUAAGAGCUUGCUAGAAAAAUACUGUACUUCAGCGUUACAUGUUUUAAAAUGUGUGUAACCAAUAUUAAUUUAUAGAAAAUUCGGGAAGCCUAAUGCCCUGAUGGUAUUAUAGUUAAAUAUUCAUAAAUACUUUUGUCUUUACCCUCUGCAACUUUCUGGAAGCAAGAUCCAUGAGAGGGAAAGUAUGUUGAGAUUAAACUCUAUUGUAAGGAAAUUCUAAUAAAGAUUCAUUAUAUUGUAAUAAUAGAUAUAAAACUGAAAAGUUACUUUUUUUAGUUAUAAAAUGUAUUCAUGUUAAGGUUUCUUUUAAAAUAUAAUAUUUUGCAAAGAAAAAUCUUGAGCAACAAUUGUGAGUGGAUGAAGCUCGCUAUAUAACCUUGUUUAAAACAUAAAUAUGUAAUUUUGAUUUGUUCACAAAAAUAUCAAUGAACCCUUUUCUUCUCUUUUUGGACAGUCACAAGGAGACUAUGCUUGUCUGGUAUGUGGCUGAAAACUUGAUAUGAUGUAAAAUGCUGGGAAAAGCUCUACAUACAUUGAGAAUUUAAAAAAUUAGGUAGCAUGGAAAUCAAAUCUUAACCUUUUGUUCAAGUGGUUAAUAUAAUAUUAAAAUUAUUUUUAGUUAAAAAAAUUAGAUUCAAAUCAAUUGUAGCAAGUAAUUGGGGAAUACAUGAUUUUUAUAGUUAUUUUAUAUAUAACUGAACUAGCAUGAACUGACAGUUUUAUGUGCAUAAUAAAAUGGAAAAUCAUGCACCAUAAAAAAAAAAAACUUUAACUGUUCAGUAAGUGCUUGUGAUAAGCUGAUGUACAAUUAAGUUUUGCAAGAAUCACUGUACUUGUACUGUGCUACAUUCACUAAUAAAUUCAAAGUAAUAUACUCUUA
This 3331-nucleotide long non-coding RNA is filed under the name Limulus polyphemus (Atlantic horseshoe crab). RNAcentral describes it as "uncharacterized LOC111084281". The record is from RNAcentral. Lineage: Eukaryota; Metazoa; Arthropoda; Merostomata; Xiphosura; Limulidae.